AUGGCUGUCAAACAGCUCCUUCCUGGUGGGCUCCAGAUCUUGUCAUUCCACAUCAUGGUUUCCUUUGAGGACGUGGCCGUGCUCCUCUCCCAGGAGGAGUGGGACUGUCUGAUCCCUGCUCAGAGGGGCCUCUACAGGGAUGUGAUGCUGGAGACCUAUGGGAACCUGGUGUCACUAGGACUUCAAGCUUCCAAACCUGAUAUUAUCUCCAGGCUGGAGGAGGGGGAUGAACCAUGGACCCUACACACCGUGAGAACGCAGGGGAGCUGGAGCUGGAGGCACAAGAGAGAAGGCUAUGAUUCUAGGAUUGAUAAAAAGAACUGAUUCCAAAGCAUGACAUUUCUGAAGAAAUGGAAUCCCAGACAGCAAAAUCAAAAGAUCAUGUAAGGAAUAAUUUUAAGGAAGCUAAAGAGAUUAGUAAAACUCAGGGAAAGUUAGAGAACUGGUGGAGAAAAUAUGCAGUAGAAGGAAUUAAGAACUCCUUUUCGCAGAAGAGCAGUUUCAGAGCAAUUGUUAUGAGGUGUGUGAAAACCCUCUCUGGAGAGAAUGUCCAGAAAUUCAAUACUUUUGGAGAAGAUUGCAUUACAGACUCAAAUCUUGCCAAACAUCUUAGAGUGUCUAGAGAGGAGAGUCUCUAUCCAAAUGUGUCAAGUGUGGAAAACUUGCAACAUGAGGAGCUCAUUAACCUCCAGAGUUUCCAGUUAGGGGAAAGAGCCUGUCAGACAGAUGUGUUAGUGAAAGUACCCAGACAGAGUUCAGUUCUUAGUGAGAAUCAGAGGAUGAAUAAUCCGGAGAGACCCUUUGAGUGUACCAGAUGUGAAACAACUUUCCAUCAGAACAGAGCUUUUAACCAGCACCAGAGAAUUCAUAGUGGAGAGAAGCCCUAUGAGUGCAAUGAAUGUGGAAAAGCUUUCAGUAGGCCCUCUGUCUUCAGUAAACAUCAGAGAAUCCACACUGGUAGGAAACCCUACAUAUGUAAGGAUUGUGGCAAAUCUUUCAGUGCGCACUCAUACUUUAUUCAGCAUUGUAAAAUUCACACUGGAGAAAAAGCAUAUGAGUGUAUUAAAUGUAGGAAAGCUUUUAGUACACAUUUAUCUUAUAUGCAACAUCUAAAAAUUCAUACCGGAGAGAAACCUCAUGAGUGUAAUCAGUGUGGGAAAGCCUUUAGUCAUAGCUCUAAUCUGAUCCAUCAUCAGAGAAUUCAUAGUGGAGAAAAGCCUUACCAGUGCAAAGAAUGUGGGAAAGCCUUCAACAGACAAUCGCACCUUACUCAGCAUCAGAGAAUUCAUUCUGGAGAGAAGCCUUAUGACUGUAAUGAGUGUGGCAAAGCCUUCAGUGCACAAUUAUCUCUUAUUCAGCAUCAGAGAAUUCAUACAGGAGAAAAGUCCUAUGAAUGUAAUGAAUGUGGAAAAUCCUUUAGCCUGAACCGAACUCUAACUGUCCAUCAGAGAAUUCACACUGGAGAGAAACCUUAUAGGUGCAAUGAAUGUGGAAAAUCCUUUAGUCAGCGCUCACAAGUUACUCAGCAUAAGAGAAUUCAUACCGGCGAGAAGCCUUAUAUCUGUAAUGAGUGUGGAAAAUCAUUUGGUGCUCACCUAUCCCUUAUCCAGCAUCAGAGAAUUCACACUGGAGAGAAACCUUAUGGUUGUAGUGAGUGUGGGAAAACCUUUAGUCAAAAGGGACAUCUUAUUCAGCACCAGUGAAUUCACACAGGAGAGAAACCCUAUGAAUGUAGUGAGUGUGGAAAAGCUUUCAGCCAGAGUUUUAAUCUUAUUCACCAUCAAAGAACACACAAUGGUGAGAAGCCCUAUGAAUGUAAUGAAUGUGAUAAAGCCUUUAGUGUGCUUUCUUCCCUAGUUCAACACCAGAGAAUACAUAAUGGAGAGAAACCCUAUGAGUGUCACAAAUGUGGGAAGGCCUUUAGCCAGGGGUCACACCUUAUUCAGCAUCAGAGGAGUCACACUGGUGAGAAACCCUAUGAGUGUAAUGAGUGUGGGAAAACCUUUGGACAGAUAUCCACCCUAAUUAAGCAUGAGAGAACCCACAAUGGAGGGAAGCCCUAUGAGUGCAGUGACUGUGGGAAAGCCUUCAGCCAGAGUGCACACCUUAUUCGCCAUUGAAGAAUUCACAGUAGAGAGAAUCCCUAUGAGUGCAGUGACUGUAGGAAGGCCUUCAGUGUUCACUCCUCUCUCAUUCAGCAUCACAGAAUUCAUACUGGUGAGAAACCUGAUGAAUGUAGCGAGUGUGGCAAGGCAUUCAGUCAGCAUUCAUAAUUUAUCCAACAUCAGAGAAUUCAUACCAAAGAGAAACUCUACAUGUGCAGUGAAUGUGAUAAAUCCUUCAGUGCAUGCUUAUCCCUUAUCCAACACAAGAGAAUUCACACUGGAGAGAAACCCUGUGUAUGCACCAAAUGUGGAAAAUCCUUCCGACAAAGCUCUCACCUUAUUUGACAUCAGAGAAUUCACAGUGGGGAGCGACUUUAUACAUGAAAUCAAUGUGGAAAAAUCUUCGGUCAGAGGAUAACUCUUACUAGUCAUGAGAAAAUCCGUACAGUUCACAUUAGAGAGCAAGCCUAUGAAUGUAGUAAGUGUGGGAACUCUAGUGCACAGUCGUCUUUUAUUCAACACUGUACAGUUCACAGUGGAGAUUAA
Non-coding RNA from Saimiri boliviensis boliviensis (Bolivian squirrel monkey), 2651 nucleotides. Lineage: Eukaryota; Metazoa; Chordata; Mammalia; Primates; Cebidae. The record is from RefSeq and is a predicted model, not a curated record.